GUGUCAGCAGCCGCGGUAAUACGAAGGGGGCUAGCGUUGUUCGGAUUUACUGGGCGUAAAGCGCGUGUAGGCGGGCUGGAAAGUUGGGGGUGAAAUCCCGAGGCUCAACCUCGGAACUGCCUCCAAAACUUCCAGCCUGGACUCAAGUAGAGGCAAGUGGAAUUGCGAGUGUAGAGGUGAAAUUCGUAGAUAUUCGCAGGAACACCAGUGGCGAAGGCGACUUGCUGGACUUGUAGUGACGCUGAGACGCGAAAGCGUGGGGAGCAAACAGGAUUAGAAACCCGUGUAGUCC
Molecule: ribosomal RNA, 292 nt
Filed under: uncultured bacterium
Lineage: Bacteria
Description: partial 16S ribosomal RNA
Rfam family: Bacterial small subunit ribosomal RNA
Source: RNAcentral